Molecule: ribosomal RNA, 506 nt
Filed under: uncultured Lachnospiraceae bacterium
Lineage: Bacteria; Bacillati; Bacillota; Clostridia; Lachnospirales; Lachnospiraceae
Description: partial 16S ribosomal RNA
Source: RNAcentral
CACGUAGUUAGCCGGGGCUUCUUAGUCAGGUACCGUCAUUUUCCUCCCUGCUGAUAGAGCUUUACAUACCGAAAUACUUCUUCACUCACGCGGCGUCGCUGGAUCAGGGUUCCCCCCAUUGUCCAAUAUUCCCCACUGCUGCCUCCCGUAGGAGUUUGGGCCGUGUCUCAGUCCCAAUGUGGCCGUUCACCCUCUCAGGCCGGCUACUGAUCGUCGCCUUGGUGGGCCGUUACCCCGCCAACCAGCUAAUCAGACGCGGGUCCAUCCUGUACCACCGGAGUUUUUCACACUGUAUCAUGCGAUACUGUGCGCUUAUGCGGUAUUAGCACCUAUUUCUAAGUGUUAUCCCCCUGUACAGGGCAGGUUCCCCACGCGUUACUCACCCGUCCGCCACUAAGAUGCCAACAUUUCCACUCUCAGCAAGCUAAUCGCUUCAAAAAUGGCAUCCCCGUUCGACUUGCAUGUGUUAAGCACGCCGCCAGCGUUCAUCCUGAGCCAGGAUCAAA